GGUUUUGUGCUCUGAAGUAGAGGUGCCAAAAAUCCUCCAAGAUUUCCGAUCUGUAAGCUUUGCUUGCAAAGAUCCUCCUUUUGUUUUCCAGCAGCAGCUCUACGCACUGUACAAACUAAUCUCCAUCACCGAAGCCCAUUCUUUUCUAAUUAAAGCAGGAGGAAAGCAAUUUGUCGGGCUCUGCUCCUACCCGUCGCCUCAACUCUGGAUCCCUGAAAAUUCCCCAGCUUUGCCAACCGAGUUCUCUGCAGCUCUCUGCUGUCGAAAGAAAGGGUUAAGGACCCGCAUUCCUGCCCCGUUGCUCCGGAUCAAAGUUUUAUUUUCUGUGCUGCAGGGCAGGACCGGGGUGGCCCUUCUUUUCCCCCUCGCUGGCCGAGGCUCACAGCACCGUCCUGCCCGAGAAAGCAGAGACACCAGCGACUCGACGGGGGGAACAGCAGGAAAUGUUCUCAGCGAUUUCAUCUUCUCCAGGACCCAAACAAAUUGCAGGGCUGCGCAGGAGCCCUGUGUUUCAGGCAGACCGUAUAAAUAGCACCGGCAACGUAUCCGCGCUUGGAAAACGCAGAAGCAACAGUUAAAAUACAUAUAACUACUGAAGCCCGUGGAGUGUGGUUUUGGGUUUAGUCAGGCAAUUUGUAGUUUGCCUAACAAUUUAGGCCACAUGCGAGGCUUAUCUAGGUUAAAUACUGUAAGUCAGGUUUUGCUCUCCUUCGUGCACGGCUCCCAGGCUUGUCAUGC
Molecule: long non-coding RNA, 738 nt
Filed under: Dromaius novaehollandiae (emu)
Lineage: Eukaryota; Metazoa; Chordata; Aves; Casuariiformes; Dromaiidae
Description: lncRNA (ENSDNVG00000000260.1)
Source: RNAcentral